UACGUAGGCAGCAAGCGUUGUUCGGAGUUACUGGGCGUAAAGAGUGUGUAGGCGGUUCUCUAAGUUCGGUGUGAAAUCUCCCGGCUCAACUGGGAGGGUGCGCCGGAAACUGGAGGGCUUGAGUAUGGGAGAGGAAAGCGGAAUUCCUGGUGUAGCGGUGAAAUGCGUAGAUAUCAGGAGGAACACCUGCGGUGUAGACGGCUUUCUGGACCAUCACUGACGCUGAGACACGAAAGCGUGGGGAG
Molecule: ribosomal RNA, 245 nt
Filed under: uncultured bacterium
Lineage: Bacteria
Description: partial 16S ribosomal RNA
Rfam family: Bacterial small subunit ribosomal RNA
Source: RNAcentral